Megalobrama amblycephala (Wuchang bream) is the source of this 300-nucleotide long non-coding RNA. RefSeq lists it as uncharacterized. The transcript has 2 exons. The record is from RefSeq and is a predicted model, not a curated record. NCBI's taxonomy places the organism in Eukaryota, Metazoa, Chordata, Actinopteri, Cypriniformes, Xenocyprididae.
CAAACAAACAAGAACUCACUAACAGUCGACAACUCACCUGGAUUGUGGAGUUACCAAUUUUGUGGACUUACCUCUCCAGUCACAACUUUGCAAACUUUUGGAUUAUCACUACUUGGACAUUUGUACAUACACUGGUGGACACUCACAUUGGGACUUUAUCAGCACACUAGGAUUCUUGGACUGUUUUAGGGUAUGGUACUUGGGACUGUAUGCUUUUAACAGACUGAGUUUUUCUGGUUUUAUUGUGUUGGUUUAAAGUUCCUGUGAAUAUUGUAAAUACACAAUUCUUAUUUAAACUUA